This 332-nucleotide ribosomal RNA is filed under the name uncultured archaeon. RNAcentral's name for it is "bacterial SSU rRNA". It matches the Rfam family "Archaeal small subunit ribosomal RNA", at positions 24 to 346 of the family's 1478-position model. The record is from RNAcentral.
CCGACUGCUAUUGGGGUGAGGCUAAGCCAUGCGAGUCAGCGCCUCUAGCCAUGAUGUGGCGCGGCAUACGGCUCGUAACAUGUGGCUAACCUACCCUCAGGACGGGAACACCCUCGGGAAACUGAGGCUGACUCCCGAUAGAUGAUGGAUCCUGGAAGGUUCUUCAUCCAAAUGAUAUGUGGCUCACGCAUCCAAGCCUGAGGAUGGGACGCACCCUAUCAGGUAGUGGGGGUAAUGGCCCCAAGCCUAUAACGGGUACGGGCCUUGAGAGAGGAGCCCGGAGAGGGCACUGAGCAAGGGCCCAGGCCCUACGGGGCGCAGCAGGCGCGAUG